Molecule: ribosomal RNA, 238 nt
Filed under: uncultured bacterium
Lineage: Bacteria
Description: partial 16S ribosomal RNA
Rfam family: Bacterial small subunit ribosomal RNA
Source: RNAcentral
UACGAAGGGGGCUAGCGUUGCUCGGAAUUACUGGGCGUAAAGCGCACGUAGGCGGCUUUCUAAGUCGGGGGUGAAAUCCUGGAGCUCAACUCCAGAACUGCCUUCGAUACUGGAGAGCUUGAGUCCGGGAGAGGUGAGUGGAACUGCGAGUGUAGAGGUGAAAUUCAUAGAUAUUCGCAAGAACACCAGUGGCGAAGGCGGCUCACUGGCCCGGUACUGACGCUGAGGUGCGAAAGCG